Molecule: long non-coding RNA, 623 nt
Organism: Serinus canaria (Common canary)
Lineage: Eukaryota; Metazoa; Chordata; Aves; Passeriformes; Fringillidae
Exons: 5
Source: RefSeq, a predicted model, not a curated record
UCGAGAGUUGGCAAGCAAACACUACCAGGACCUACCAGAUAAAAUACGUAUUUUCCUUGUUAUAAAUAAGGGGUGAGAAUGCCACUGCAGUGUUAAAAAAUGCAUGGGCGCACCUGUGGGCACGGACGCUCAGCGGUACCGUCAAGGGAGGCCCCUCAGCCCCGCAGCUGCAGCGGGCACGGGCAGCGGCACGGCUCUCUCUGCUCUCUUACCUGGCAGAACCAAGAGGCAGCUUUGCUCUGCCCCUGGGCUGGAGCUGCUCCUCCCCUCAGCAGAGUGCAGGACAGGAGGGUGCUGCUGCAUGUGUGGAAGAAGUGGCAAUCUGCAAUGCUGAGAGGAGCACGAGCUGAAAACAAGGGUUCUGUGGUUUCAUCCUGUAUUGCAACCUUCCAGCUGAAGACCAUCUAAGUCAAAAUACAAGGAACAUAGCCUCAUAUAUCUGAGGCAGAAACUUCUUGCAGUCAUCAUCCUCCAACUGCUUUGAUGUUACAAGAGAUUACAUUAGAAGGGAUGCUGGAAUUAUGCCCACCUCUCCUCCCAGGAUUUUUAAGAGAGAUAUCACCAAAAAUGGUGGGAUGUCAAUAGAAAAUAUCUGUUCUUCAUGUUUUAUGAGUGCUAUGGAU